UUACGACCACAUCACGUUGAAACGCCGUUUACCUUACGAUUCCCGAAGUUAAGCAACGUUAAUCCUGACCAGUAUCUUGAUGGGUGACCGCUUGGGAAUACAAGGUGCUGUAAG
This is a non-coding RNA of Acanthosepion pharaonis, 114 nucleotides long. The record is from the annotation of a GenBank genome assembly. Lineage: Eukaryota; Metazoa; Mollusca; Cephalopoda; Sepiida; Sepiidae.